CAUAUCCGGCAAACUGGAAAAUGCCGAAGUUCGACAAGUUCUCGGGCGAUGAGACCAGUUAAUAUAUAAAGGCAUUCGGCUCUUUAAGCCGACCAAUCAUUGUGUAUUCUAUAUAUUCGGCUCAUCAGCCGACCAAUUACUGUAUAUUUCAUCUAUUCGGCUCUUUCAACAGAACCGAGUCUACAGUAAAAGUUUUCGAACUCGGCUGAUCCGAUCCAUCGUCAGCCGAAUCGCUUGAUCUAAUCGAAUGGCGCAAAUUUCGAGGGUCACUAUCCGACGCCGUUUCGCAUCCCUACACGCUCCCCGAGGAAGAUCUUUGACCAAGUCAAAGAUAAAGGAUUUCGGCUACCAACAAGAUGAAUACAAC
This 367-nucleotide long non-coding RNA is filed under the name Ananas comosus (pineapple). RNAcentral's name for it is "long non-coding RNA (ACOM_LNC024726)". The record is from RNAcentral. Lineage: Eukaryota; Viridiplantae; Streptophyta; Magnoliopsida; Poales; Bromeliaceae.